AGUGGUUCUCAGGUGAUGCACCCUGGAACCAGAGAGGAGGGAGCCCGAUUCUGGGGUGCAUCACCCAAGAACCGCC
Myotis lucifugus (little brown bat) is the source of this 76-nucleotide non-coding RNA. The record is from Rfam. NCBI's taxonomy places the organism in Eukaryota, Metazoa, Chordata, Mammalia, Chiroptera, Vespertilionidae.